GCCGAAGUGGUGGAAUGGUAGACGCGCUGGACUCAAAAUCCAGUGAGGGCAACUUCGUGUGGGUUCGAGUCCCACCUUCGGUACCA
Molecule: transfer RNA, 86 nt
Filed under: Candidatus Margulisiibacteriota bacterium
Lineage: Bacteria; Bacillati; Candidatus Margulisiibacteriota
Description: tRNA-Leu
Rfam family: tRNA
About the family: Transfer RNA (tRNA) molecules are approximately 80 nucleotides in length. Their secondary structure includes four short double-helical elements and three loops (D, anti-codon, and T loops).
Source: RNAcentral